CAAUCCGCUCACAGCCAUGCAGAUUAAGACGAAUUUAGAUCGACAUUAUUUUGAUAACAAUGAAAACUCAAAUGCUUGAAACGAAAUGAGUGGAGUUGAACGACGCCUGUUUAUCGAAACUACAUCAAUCAACUUUUCAACUAUGCAGGAUUUCAAAAUGUACAAGGCAUCAUAUCAAAGAUUGCAUAUGCCCGAAAGAAGGACAAAUCCAAUUUGGCUCUCUGGAUGUAUGGAAAGCUCUCAACCUUCCAGAAAAGGACUGUUCAAAGGAACACUUAAAUCCCUCCGACAGGCCCUCUGGUGGUGACGUAUAAGUGCUUUCUCAGUACUUUCUCUCGCUUUUGGACAAAUCCAAGUGCUGUAUCUGUACCCGAAUAGAAAUAAAGGAUUUUAAUGACACAGUUUUCUUCCGCUCUGAAAGUGAACGAAUUACAAAACAGUCUAGAGAAUUCCUCGCCCUGCUGCAGAAGAUCAAUCCUGGGUUGUGCUCACCAAAGCAAACCUCUUUUUUUGUGUAUUCAGUGUCUUAACUAUGUAAAAGACAACUA
Bolinopsis microptera is the source of this 548-nucleotide long non-coding RNA. RefSeq lists it as uncharacterized. The transcript has 5 exons. The record is from RefSeq and is a predicted model, not a curated record. NCBI's taxonomy places the organism in Eukaryota, Metazoa, Ctenophora, Tentaculata, Lobata, Bolinopsidae.